This 441-nucleotide ribosomal RNA is filed under the name uncultured bacterium. RNAcentral's name for it is "partial 16S ribosomal RNA". It matches the Rfam family "Bacterial small subunit ribosomal RNA", at positions 338 to 794 of the family's 1533-position model. The record is from RNAcentral.
CCUACGGGAGGCAGCAGUGAGGGAUAUUGCGCAAUGGGCGAAAGCCUGACGCAGCGACGCCGCGUGGGCGAGGAAGGCCUUCGGGUUGUAAAGCCCUUUUGGCAGGGAAGAGCAAGGACUGUACCUGCAGAACAAGUCACGGCUAACUACGUGCCAGCAGCCGCGGUAAAACGUAGGUGGCGAGCGUUAUCCGGAAUCACUGGGCGUAAAGGGCGUCUAGGCGGUCGGGUAAGAGAGACGUGAAAGCUCCUGGCUCAACUGGGGUGAGUGCGUGCGAUACUGCCCCGCUUGAGUGCCGGAGGGGAGAGUGAAACGGUGCAAGUAGCGGUAAAAUGCGUAGAUAUGCACCGGACCACCGGUGGCGAAGGCGGCUUUCUAGACGGCCACCGACGCUGAGGGACGAAAGCCGGGGGAGCGAACGGGAUUAGAUACCCCUGUAGU